GAUGAAGAACGUAGCGAAAUGCGAUAAGUAAUGUGAAUUGCAGAAUUCAGUGAAUCAUCGAAUCUUUGAACGCACAUUGCGCCCCCUGGUAUUCCGGGGGGCAUGCCUGUUCGAGCGUCAUUUCAACCCUCAAGCUCUGCUUGGUGUUGGGCCCUGCCCGCUGCGGCCGGCCCUAAAGACAGUGGCGGUGCCGCCUGGCCCUGAGCGUAGUACAUCUCUCGCUCCAGUGCCCGGUGGUAGCCUGCCAGAACCCCAACUCUCGUGGUUGACCUCGGAUCAGGUAGGGAUACCCGCUGAACUUAAGCAUAUCAAUAAGCGGAGGA
This 323-nucleotide unclassified non-coding RNA is filed under the name soil metagenome. RNAcentral describes it as "partial contains 5.8S ribosomal RNA, internal transcribed spacer 2, and large subunit ribosomal RNA". The stretch from base 1 to 120 matches the Rfam family "5.8S ribosomal RNA", at positions 35 to 154 of the family's 154-position model. The record is from RNAcentral.